GUACUAGUAGUGCGUUUCAGCUCCCCGAAAAAAAUUUAGGAAAAAUUAGGGACAGCCUGUAGGCGCACUGUAGAGCCGUAUUCAGACCCCGAAACAAGUAAGGACCCCUCACCCUAUUUCCUAUCACAGUAUUAAAGUUCAAUAAAUGAUAAAACAGUAUUUCAUGAAUCAGUAGAUGUCUGAAAUUGUUUAAGGACGCCAAUGGAGCCCGAGUCUGGUGUAUUUGUCGGUCAAUUGUUGUUUGUUCUAUUUUACAGUUUUAAAUGCAGUAUGAUGUCUAAUGUUUUCAUUUCAUAGUUUCGUGUGCAUAUAUCACUGUUCUAUUAAUUAUGGGUUGAAUGACUGAGAACCCACUGUAUUGUGUUGUCUUGUUUGGCAUAAACUAUUGGUUUGCAUGUUUGUGUGUGAUUUGAUGAUGGUGACUGAGGAAAAAAAAUGAAUAAAAUGUUAUGUGAAUUGAUAAAUGGAUAAUGUG
RNAcentral lists this long non-coding RNA (475 nucleotides) under Carica papaya (papaya). RNAcentral's name for it is "long non-coding RNA (CPAP_LNC001320)". The record is from RNAcentral. Lineage: Eukaryota; Viridiplantae; Streptophyta; Magnoliopsida; Brassicales; Caricaceae.